RNAcentral lists this ribosomal RNA (724 nucleotides) under uncultured bacterium. RNAcentral's name for it is "bacterial SSU rRNA". It matches the Rfam family "Bacterial small subunit ribosomal RNA", at positions 61 to 802 of the family's 1533-position model. The record is from RNAcentral.
GUCGAGCGAUGAAGUUUUCUUCGGAAAACGGAUUAGCGGCGGACGGGUGAGUAACACGUGGGCAACCUGCCUUAUAGAGGGGAAUAGCCUUCCGAAAGGAAGAUUAAUACCGCAUAAUAUUAUCGAAUGGCAUCAUUUGAUAAUCAAAGGAGCAAUCCGCUAUAAGAUGGGCCCGCGUCGCAUUAGUUAGUUGGUGGGGUAAUGGCCUACCAAGACGACGAUGCGUAGCCGACCUGAGAGGGUGAUCGGCCACAUUGGGACUGAGACACGGCCCAGACUCCUACGGGAGGCAGCAGUGGGGAAUAUUGCACAAUGGGGGAAACCCUGAUGCAGCAGCGCCGCGUGAGCGAUGAAGGUCUUCGGAUCGUAAAGCUCUGUCUUUAGGGAUGAUAAUGACAGUACCUAAGGAGGAAGCCACGGCUAACUACGUGCCAGCAGCCGCGGUAAUACGUAGGUGGCAAGCGUUAUCCGGAAUUAUUGGGCGUAAAGGGAGCGUAGGCGGAUAUUUAAGUGGGAUGUGAAAUACAUGAGCUCAACUCGUGUGCUGCAUUCCAAACUGGAUAUCUAGAGUGCAGGAGAGGAGAGUGGAAUUCCUAGUGUAGCGGUGAAAUGCGUAGAGAUUAGGAAGAACACCAGUCGAAGGCGACUCUCUGGACUGUAACUGACGCUGAGGCUCGAAAGCGUGGGGAGCGAACAGGAUUAGAUACCCUGGUAGUCCACGCCG